RNAcentral lists this ribosomal RNA (245 nucleotides) under uncultured bacterium. Its description in RNAcentral is "partial 16S ribosomal RNA". It matches the Rfam family "Bacterial small subunit ribosomal RNA", at positions 524 to 768 of the family's 1533-position model. The record is from RNAcentral.
AACGUAGGAGGCGAGCGUUAUCCGGAUUUACUGGGCGUAAAGCGCACGCAGGCGGCUCGGCAAGUUGGGCGUAAAAGCUCCUGGCUUAACUGGGAGAGGUCGUUCGAAACUACCGGGCUUGAGGUUGGGAGAGGGGUGUGGAAUUCCCGGUGUAGUGGUGGAAUGCGUAGAUAUCGGGAGGAACACCAGUGGCGAAGGCGGCACCCUGGCCCACACCUGACGCUGAUGUGCGAAAGCGUGGGGAG